This 269-nucleotide ribosomal RNA is filed under the name uncultured prokaryote. RNAcentral describes it as "partial 16S ribosomal RNA". It matches the Rfam family "Bacterial small subunit ribosomal RNA", at positions 524 to 792 of the family's 1533-position model. The record is from RNAcentral.
UACGUAGGUGGCAAGCGUUGUCCGGAUUUAUUGGGCGUAAAGGGAGCGCAGGCGGUGACUUAAGUCUGAUGUGAAAGCCCACGGCUCAACCGUGGAAGGUCAUUGGAAACUGGGUCACUUGAAUAUAGAAGAGGAAAGUGGAAUUCCAUGUGUAGCGGUGAAAUGCGUAGAGAUAUGGAGGAACACCAGUGGCGAAGGCGGCUUCCUGGUCUGUAACUGACACUGAGGCGCGAAAGCGUGGGGAGCAAACAGGAUUAGAUACCCCCGUA